GACGAACGCUGGCGGCGUGCUUAACACAUGCAAGUCGAACGGAAAGGCCCUGAUUGCCGGGUACUCGAGUGGCGAACGGGCGAGUAACACGUGGGUGAUCUGCCCUGUACUUUGGGAUAAGCCUGGAAAAAUGGGUCUAAUCCCUGAUAUGACAUUCUACGUAGUGUGGGGGGCGGAGGGACUUCUCGGCGUGGGCUGAGGCAGCGGCCGAUCAGCUUGUUGGUGGGGUAAUGGCCUACCAAGGCCUCGACUGGUAGUCGGCCUGGGAUGGGGGACGGCCACAAUGGUACUGAGGUACGGCCCAGACUCCUACGUGAGGCAGCAGGGGGGAAUAUUGCACAAUGGGCGGGAGCGUGAUGCGACGACGCCGCGUGGGGGAUGACGGCCUGCGGGGUGUGAACCUCUUUCGGCAGAGACGAAGCUGCGGUGACGGUACCUGAAGAAGAAGCACCGGCUAACUACGUG
RNAcentral lists this ribosomal RNA (465 nucleotides) under uncultured bacterium. RNAcentral's name for it is "partial 16S ribosomal RNA". It matches the Rfam family "Bacterial small subunit ribosomal RNA", at positions 28 to 507 of the family's 1533-position model. The record is from RNAcentral.